CAGUAGCCACGGGAAUACGGAGGGUGCAAGCGUUAAUCGGAAUUACUGGGCGUAAAGCGCGCGUAGGCGGUUACUCAAGUCAGAGGUGAAAGCCCGGGGCUCAACCCCGGAACUGCCUUUGAAACUAGGUGACUAGAAUCUUGGAGAGGUCAGUGGAAUUCCGAGUGUAGAGGUGAAAUUCGUAGAUAUUCGGAAGAACACCAGUGGCGAAGGCGACUGACUGGACAAGUAUUGACGCUGAGGUGCGAAAGCGUGGGGAGCAAACAGGAUUAGAUACCCCUGUAGUCCCUGUCUCUUAUAC
This 301-nucleotide ribosomal RNA is filed under the name uncultured bacterium. RNAcentral describes it as "partial 16S ribosomal RNA". It matches the Rfam family "Bacterial small subunit ribosomal RNA", at positions 509 to 807 of the family's 1533-position model. The record is from RNAcentral.